Long non-coding RNA from Ipomoea triloba (trilobed morning glory), 422 nucleotides. RefSeq lists it as uncharacterized. The record is from RefSeq and is a predicted model, not a curated record. Lineage: Eukaryota; Viridiplantae; Streptophyta; Magnoliopsida; Solanales; Convolvulaceae. The transcript has 2 exons.
CUCUCCCCACUUUCCAUUCUCUCCUUUCCCCUUUUCCCUUUCUCUCUCUAUAUUAUCUACAUAUAUGAUGUUCUUUUUGUGGGUUUUGGAGGUGAUGAAGGGACGAUCUUGUAUGGUACUCAACAUGUAUUUGUAAAAAAAAAAAGAAAAAAAAGGUUUAAUAUUAUUAAAAUUAUUUCUUUCAUUUUUAAAGCUUAUUUUGAUGUUAAAAUAUGUUUAUUAAUCAAUCACAGUUAGCUUUUUUGACAGAAAUCAUAUAUGCUGAGGCUGCACUUCCAAAAUCUGUUCAUCCAGUUAUCUAUUUGUUUGCACUGUACUUUACUUCUUUCUAUAUUGAUGCCAAAAUUUCAGAUGAAUUUUAGUUGUAUGAUUUACAUUGAUAAAGAUGGACUUAAAUUGCUUGCACAGUGUGCCUUUUGCUU